GACGAACGCUGGCGGCGUGCUUAACACAUGCAAGUCGAACGGAAAGGCCCUGCUUUUGUGGGGUGCUCGAGUGGCGAACGGGUGAGUAACACGUGAGUAACCUGCCCUUGACUUUGGGAUAACUUCAGGAAACUGGGGCUCAUACCGGAUAGGAGCUCCUGCUGCAUGGUGGGGGUUGGAAAGUUUCGGCGGUUGGGGAUGGACUCGCGGCUUAUCAGCUUGUUGGUGGGGUAGUGGCUUACCAAGGCUUUGACGGGUAGCCGGCCUGAGAGGGUGACCGGCCACAUUGGGACUAAGAUACGGCCCAGAAUGCUACGGGAGGCAGCAGGGGGGAAUAUUGCACAAUGGGCGGAAGCCUGAUGCAGCAACGCCGCGUGCGGAAUGACGGCCUUCGGGUUAUAAACAGAUUUCGCAUGUGACAAAGCAUGAGUGACGGUAAUGGGUAAAGAAGCACCGGCUAACUAAGUG
RNAcentral lists this ribosomal RNA (468 nucleotides) under uncultured bacterium. Its description in RNAcentral is "partial 16S ribosomal RNA". It matches the Rfam family "Bacterial small subunit ribosomal RNA", at positions 28 to 507 of the family's 1533-position model. The record is from RNAcentral.